Molecule: ribosomal RNA, 997 nt
Filed under: Staphylococcus aureus
Lineage: Bacteria; Bacillati; Bacillota; Bacilli; Caryophanales; Staphylococcaceae
Description: partial 23S ribosomal RNA
Rfam family: Bacterial large subunit ribosomal RNA
Source: RNAcentral
AUAGGUGCCCGUACCGCAAACCGACACAGGUAGUCAAGAUGAGAAUUCUAAGGUGAGCGAGCGAACUCUCGUUAAGGAACUCGGCAAAAUGACCCCGUAACUUCGGGAGAAGGGGUGCUCUUUAGGGUUAACGCCCAGAAGAGCCGCAGUGAAUAGGCCCAAGCGACUGUUUAUCAAAAACACAGGUCUCUGCUAAACCGUAAGGUGAUGUAUAGGGGCUGACGCCUGCCCGGUGCUGGAAGGUUAAGAGGAGUGGUUAGCUUCUGCGAAGCUACGAAUCGAAGCCCCAGUAAACGGCGGCCGUAACUAUAACGGUCCUAAGGUAGCGAAAUUCCUUGUCGGGUAAGUUCCGACCCGCACGAAAGGCGUAACGAUUUGGGCACUGUCUCAACGAGAGACUCGGUGAAAUCAUAGUACCUGUGAAGAUGCAGGUUACCCGCGACAGGACGGAAAGACCCCGUGGAGCUUUACUGUAGCCUGAUAUUGAAAUUCGGCACAGCUUGUACAGGAUAGGUAGGAGCCUUUGAAACGUGAGCGCUAGCUUACGUGGAGGCGCUGGUGGGAUACUACCCUAGCUGUGUUGGCUUUCUAACCCGCACCACUUAUCGUGGUGGGAGACAGUGUCAGGCGGGCAGUUUGACUGGGGCGGUCGCCUCCUAAAAGGUAACGGAGGCGCUCAAAGGUUCCCUCAGAAUGGUUGGAAAUCAUUCAUAGAGUGUAAAGGCAUAAGGGAGCUUGACUGCGAGACCUACAAGUCGAGCAGGGUCGAAAGACGGACUUAGUGAUCCGGUGGUUCCGCAUGGAAGGGCCAUCGCUCAACGGAUAAAAGCUACCCCGGGGAUAACAGGCUUAUCUCCCCCAAGAGUUCACAUCGACGGGGAGGUUUGGCACCUCGAUGUCGGCUCAUCGCAUCCUGGGGCUGUAGUCGGUCCCAAGGGUUGGGCUGUUCGCCCAUUAAAGCGGUACGCGAGCUGGGUUCAGAACGUCGUGAGACAGU